This 478-nucleotide ribosomal RNA is filed under the name uncultured bacterium. RNAcentral describes it as "bacterial SSU rRNA". It matches the Rfam family "Bacterial small subunit ribosomal RNA", at positions 28 to 506 of the family's 1533-position model. The record is from RNAcentral.
GAUGAACGCUAGCGGCAGGCUUAACACAUGCAAGUCGAGGGGUAGGUUACUUCGGUAAUUGAGACCGGCGCACGGGUGCGUAACGCGUAUACAAUCUACCUUUUACAGAGGGAUAGCCCAGAGAAAUUUGGAUUAAUACCUCAUAGUAUUUUUGAAUCGCAUGAUUUGAUUAUUAAAGUUCCAACGGUAAAAGAUGAGUAUGCGUCCCAUUAGCUAGAUGGUAAGGUAACGGCUUACCAUGGCUACGAUGGGUAGGGGUCCUGAGAGGGAGAUCCCCCCACACUGGUACUGAGACACGGACCAGACUCCUACGGGAGGCAGCAGUGAGGAAUAUUGGACAAUGGGCGCAAGCCUGAUCCAGCCAUGCCGCGUGCAGGAAGAAGGUCCUAUGGAUUGUAAACUGCUUUUAUACAAGAAGAAACACUCCCUCGUGAGGGAACUUGACGGUACUGUAUGAAUAAGGACCGGCUAACUCCGU